This 1017-nucleotide ribosomal RNA is filed under the name uncultured bacterium. RNAcentral describes it as "bacterial SSU rRNA". It matches the Rfam family "Bacterial small subunit ribosomal RNA", at positions 357 to 1376 of the family's 1533-position model. The record is from RNAcentral.
AGGAAUAUUGGUCAAUGGACGCAAGUCUGAACCAGCCAUGCCGCGUGCAGGAUGACGGCUCUAUGAGUUGUAAACUGCUUUUGUACGAGGGUAAACGCAGAUACGUGUAUCUGUCUGAAAGUAUCGUACGAAUAAGGAUCGGCUAACUCCGUGCCAGCAGCCGCGGUAAUACGGAGGAUUCAAGCGUUAUCCGGAUUUAUUGGGUUUAAAGGGUGCGUAGGCGGUUUGAUAAGUUAGAGGUGAAAUUUCGGGGCUCAACCCUGAACGUGCCUCUAAUACUGUUGAGCUAGAGAGUAGUUGCGGUAGGCGGAAUGUAUGGUGUAGCGGUGAAAUGCUUAGAGAUCAUACAGAACACCGAUUGCGAAGGCAGCUUACCAAACUAUAUCUGACGUUGAGGCACGAAAGCGUGGGGAGCAAACAGGAUUAGAUACCCUGGUAGUCCACGCAGUAAACGAUGAUAACUCGUUGUCGGCGAUACACAGUCGGUGACUAAGCGAAAGCGAUAAGUUAUCCACCUGGGGAGUACGUUCGCAAGAAUGAAACUCAAAGGAAUUGACGGGGGCCCGCACAAGCGGAGGAACAUGUGGUUUAAUUCGAUGAUACGCGAGGAACCUUACCCGGGCUUGAAAGUUAGCGACGAUUCUUGAAAGAGGAUUUCCCUUCGGGGCGCGAAACUAGGUGCUGCAUGGUUGUCGUCAGCUCGUGCCGUGAGGUGUCGGGUUAAGUCCCAUAACGAGCGCAACCCCUACCGUUAGUUGCCAUCAGGUCAAGCUGGGCACUCUGGCGGGACUGCCGGUGUAAGCCGAGAGGAAGGUGGGGAUGACGUCAAAUCAGCACGGCCCUUACGUCCGGGGCUACACACGUGUUACAAUGGUAGGUACAGAGGGCAGCUACCCAGCGAUGGGAUGCGAAUCUCGAAAGCCUAUCUCAGUUCGGAUUGGAGGCUGAAACCCGCCUCCAUGAAGUUGGAUUCGCUAGUAAUCGCGCAUCAGCCAUGGCGCGGUGAAUACGUUCCCG